RNAcentral lists this ribosomal RNA (531 nucleotides) under uncultured Actinomadura sp. RNAcentral's name for it is "bacterial SSU rRNA". It matches the Rfam family "Bacterial small subunit ribosomal RNA", at positions 355 to 897 of the family's 1533-position model. Lineage: Bacteria; Bacillati; Actinomycetota; Actinomycetes; Streptosporangiales; Thermomonosporaceae. The record is from RNAcentral.
UGGGGAAUAUUGCGCAAUGGGCGGAAGCCUGACGCAGCGACGCCGCGUGGGGGAUGACGGCCUUCGGGUUGUAAACCCCUUUCAGCAGGGACGAAGCUAACGUGACGGUACCUGCAGAAGAAGCGCCGGCUAACUACGUGCCAGCAGCCGCGGUAAUACGUAGGGCGCAAGCGUUGUCCGGAAUUAUUGGGCGUAAAGAGCUCGUAGGCGGUUUGUCGCGUCUGUCGUGAAAGCCCACGGCUUAACCGUGGGUCUGCGGUGGAUACGGGCAGACUAGAGGCAGGUAGGGGAGAAUGGAAUUCCCGGUGUAGCGGUGAAGUGCGCAGAUAUCGGGAGGAACACCGGUGGCGAAGGCGGUUCUCUGGGCCUGUACUGACGCUGAGGAGCGAAAGCGUGGGGAGCGAACAGGAUUAGAUACCCUGGUAGUCCACGCCGUAAACGUUGGGCGCUAGGUGUGGGGUUCUUCCACGGAUUCCGCGCCGUAGCUAACGCAUUAAGCGCCCCGCCUGGGGAGUACGGCCGCAAGGCUAA